Molecule: microRNA precursor, 179 nt
Filed under: Oryza nivara
Lineage: Eukaryota; Viridiplantae; Streptophyta; Magnoliopsida; Poales; Poaceae
Description: MIR812 microRNA precursor family
Rfam family: MIR812 microRNA precursor family
Source: Rfam by way of RNAcentral
AAAAAGACAAACACUGAGUUUCCAUGUUCAAUUUUUGACUGUCCGUCUUAUAUGAAAUUUUUUUAUAAUUACUUAUUUUUAUUGUUGUUAGAUGAUAAAAUAUAAUUAAUAUUUUAUGCGUGACUUGUCUUUUUAAAAUUUUUUUUAUAAUUUUUUAAAUAAGACGGACGGUUGGAAAC